Molecule: small nuclear RNA, 164 nt
Organism: Tupaia belangeri (northern tree shrew)
Lineage: Eukaryota; Metazoa; Chordata; Mammalia; Scandentia; Tupaiidae
Gene: U1
Rfam family: U1 spliceosomal RNA
About the family: U1 is a small nuclear RNA (snRNA) component of the spliceosome (involved in pre-mRNA splicing). Its 5' end forms complementary base pairs with the 5' splice junction, thus defining the 5' donor site of an intron.
Source: Ensembl
AUACUUACCUGGCAGGGGAGAUACCAUGAUCACGAAGGUGAUUUUCCCAGGGCGAGGCUUAUCCAUUGCACUCUGGAUGUGCUGACCCCCGCGAUUUCCCCAAAUGUGGGAAACUCGACUGCAUAAUUUGUGGUAGUGGGGAACUGUGUUGGCACUUUCUCCUG